GUGGGGAAUCUUCCGCAAUGGACGAAAGUCUGACGGAGCAACGCCGCGUGAGUGAAGAAGGUUUUCGGAUCGUAAAGCUCUUUCGUUAGGGACGAACGUGCUCUUUGUGAAUAAUGAGGAGUAAUGACGGUACCUAAAUAAGAAGCCACGGCUAACUACGUGCCAGCAGCCGCGGUAAUACGUAGGUGGCAAGCGUUGUCCGGAAUUAUUGGGCGUAAAGCGCGCGCAGGCGGGAUAUCAAGUCUGUCUUAAAAGUGCGAGGCUCAACCUCGUGGGGGGACAGAAACUGGUAUUCUUGAGUGUCGGAGAGGAAAGUGGAAUUCCAAGUGGAGCAGUGAAAUGCGUAGAGAUUUGGAAGAACACCAGUGGCGAAGGCGACUUUCUGGACGAUGUCUGACGCUGAGGCGCGAAAGCUAGGGGAGCGAACGGGAUUAGAUACCCUAGUAGUCC
Molecule: ribosomal RNA, 450 nt
Filed under: uncultured bacterium
Lineage: Bacteria
Description: partial 16S ribosomal RNA
Rfam family: Bacterial small subunit ribosomal RNA
Source: RNAcentral